Vicia faba (fava bean) is the source of this 207-nucleotide non-coding RNA. NCBI's taxonomy places the organism in Eukaryota, Viridiplantae, Streptophyta, Magnoliopsida, Fabales, Fabaceae. The record is from the annotation of a GenBank genome assembly.
AUGAAGGAACCGGUUCCUGCGAAGUUCAAAAAUCACGCUUCUGGAAAAAUGUAUGGGAACCCGGUUCCUACCUAUACAGGAAUCGAAACUCUUGAUGGUGCUGGUCGUCGUUUGCUGCGAGUGUUCCGCUGGUCAUAUUCUAUUGCUAUCAUCUUUGUGUCUUCAUUUUCUGUAUCAAUGAAGAUGUUGACGAGGACGAUGUCGUAA